This 3159-nucleotide long non-coding RNA is filed under the name Canis lupus familiaris (dog). Its description in RNAcentral is "lncRNA (ENSCAFG00000052872.1, ENSCAFG00805018986.1, ENSCAFG00845022628.1)". The record is from RNAcentral. Lineage: Eukaryota; Metazoa; Chordata; Mammalia; Carnivora; Canidae.
CUGGGUGAUAGAGCAGACAUGGUUCAGUUUCAGAAAGUUGAGGGAGGAGUCAUAGCUAGAGUAAAGAAAAGAAAAUUUUAUUUGUUGCUUGUAUACAGUCUCAUGUAAUUCUUCAUAUUUUUCAUAAGUAUACAUUUUAAUUGAUAGUAAUAUGAUAUUUUUUGUUAAUAAUAGCAAAGGCAUUGAGUCAGUGAGUGUUAUUCCCUAUGUCUGAUGAUUCAUUGUUUGUAUUCACAAUCUGUAUUAUCAGAAUCACUUUAAACCAAAGCUUUUUUAUUCCCUGCACACAUAGCCAAAAGAUUAUCACUGUUACUUCUGCCCACCUGUAAGCUAAUAAUAUAAACAUGAUAAAGCAGGUACUUGUAGAAUUUGUAUCUCGGUCUACUCUUAAAGUAAAAAGACAGGUGCUCAGUGUUUGCAUUUAGACAUACAGAACAUACUUCAACUAUUACAGAACUACAUAAACAUUACAGACUUGAGCUUGUACGUGUGCCAAUCUUACUGUCAUUUGACCAUAGAUGCAUAUACAUAUACAUUGACAUAUGAUGCUUCAGGUUGGUGGCAUACUUUCUUCCUAGUGUCUUAACAUUUAUGAACUUGUGUUUGACUUGAGGGGCAUUUUAGGAAAGCUGUGAAGAAAAGUAGGUUAUGAACUGAAGUCUGCUCUGUGCCAUAGACAUUUUGGAAGGUAAGGAAGAGCCUGCUCUCCAGUAUACAUGCCGAAUUUGUCCCCAGAUAAGGAUUUCUGAGUCCCUCAUGCCAGUUAAGAAUGGUGAAGUUUGUGACUAUACUGAAAAGUACUUUUGUGUUCAUUUAUUUAUAUAUAUUAAGAAUUUAAAAAAACAAACGUAAUUAGUUGUGAUUUUAGCAUAAGCGUUAUGUGGAGGGAGAGAGAAAUAACAGAGUCACAUCUUAAGCUCUAUUAGAUACUUAGGCUCCAAAAUGAAUUUGACAUAUUCUCAUUUUUCCAAAGACUUUUUUUUUACCUGGAAUAAGAAGAGAGGACUAGUGAAAACAUUUGAGUUGGAAAGGCUUAUGGGCAAAGGAAAGUCGGCCAAACCCUUGCAAUAUACCCUGAGUGCAAAUACAGUGUCUACGGAUAAGAAUACUUCUUUAAAAACAAACAUUUAUUUGUAAUACAAUUUUAAUUAGUAAGUAAAAGGUUUACAUUUUUUCUAUUGCUGUUGGUUUUAAAAUUUGCUACCCUGUAUUCUGAAAUAUUAUAAGAGUUAAUACCAAAAAUACUUUUAAUGUCUGACAUCUCUUACAUUUCACAUGGUUCUUUUUAUUCAGAUAUCAUUGUAAAUAAAAGUAAACUUGGAUAAAUUUGAGAAUAAACUUUUAAUUGUUGCAAACUAUGAUUAUCAAUUUGUAAAUUUACCCUUUGACCUAAUGUACAUUUUUUAAUGUAGUCAUUAAAUUGUCUAUAUUUAAUCUAUUAGUUUCUCUCUGUAAACGUUUUUAAUCUCAGUUGAAUGCUGGGCAGUUUAUAAUUAUGUACAAAGAUGUUUUUUUCCUAUCAAAGUUGACUUUUGCACAUUUUUGGAAAUGUUUAAUUUGUACACUGAUUUACUACUCUGACCAAUAAUUGUUGAUGGGUGUAUGAGUAUCGUGAAUGCGUGCAUUGAACUACUGUCUGUGUCUUUAUGUUUUAACUUCUUUCAAGAAGUAGCCAUCAGUAACUGCACUGCUAUUACUGACUUAAAUGGACCUUCUUGCUUUUACAAAGUAUACUUAUCUACAAAGUAUACUUAUUCUAUCUUUGUUGAAGAACUCAGGAGUUCAACAUCACUUUCUGAUUUUAUAUGUAUUCUAAAAUCCAUGACUGAGUUGAAAGUAUGCUUGUAACUGCGUAUCAGGGGAUGUGUGUGUAGAGAUGUCUUUGUCUGUCUGUAGGCACAUGUAUAUAUCCCAGUAAUUUCUUAUUUUCAUUUCAUUUCUACAUUUUUAUGAGCUUGUUUUAUAAGGGUACUGUUUAGUUAGAAUAAUUAAAUAUAUAUAAAAGCUUUCUGAGAGAUUAUUUACUAUAUGAAUAUAUUUUCAGCUGGCUGAUCAAAAAUAUUUUUUUAAUUUUGUUUUUAACCAUUUAAAGUGUAUUUGUAUUUCCAGAAUUGGAUGCAAAUUUACUUAGAUAUCGAUUAAAAUACUCCUGCAAGGAAGGGCAUUGAAUUCUCUUUUGAGAAUUCUGUGAAAUACAAAUGAAGAGGAAAAAAUAGGUUUUAAAGCAGUAACAACACACUGUCCAUUAAAAUGGCCUUUGAAUUCUCAAAGCUAUGAAGAAAUGUGAGAAACUAAAGUGUCUUGAAGAGAUGUCAAGAUUUUUUCUAUCUCCCAAUUGCUGUUGGCCUGUCCUGUUGUUUUUGAAUAUUUCCUAUAUUCUACCCUAAAGAUUUCAACUUUUGGUUUUUCUCUUACUGGAUAAAGUCAGAUUGCAUUUAUAAAACAGUGCAUUGACAUAUUGUGAUCCUCUGUAAUUGACUAUAAAUUGGUUUAGAAAUGUUCAAACAUACAUUGUGUCUUUAGACUGUACUGUGUAUUUUAAGUAACUGGCAGCAAAAGAAUUGGAAGUUAAAUUUCCAAUCUGACAAUGUUAUUGUACUUAAAAGAGUUUUUAAUAUGCGGUACCAUGUAAAAAUUACUUGUAUUAGGAAUAAAGUCCACUGUUGAAGUUGAAUGUCAGUCACUAAGUGUAUUAUGUUACAAGGAGCCGGUAUGAUUAGAAAAACCUAUCAGAAGCCAGAUACAGUGUGGUAUGUGCCACAUUUCAUGCACAUUUUGACUUUAUGUUGUUCAUUCAAAAUUGUGCUUGUAAAAAUGUAUAAAAUUUCUGAGUUUUACAAUUUUUUGUACUUAUUUUUUCUUGCUGGUAAAUAGCUUUUUAAAAAAAUCUAAUGUGAAAGAAACCAUGUUUAUAUUUUGUUAGUGAUCAAUGACUUUGUUUAUAUGGAAAUUUGUAUAUUGUUGGCUCACAUCUUUGUUUAGAUUUAUCAUGCAUGAAGGCCUGCAAUAAUUAGCACAAUGAAAAUUGCUUUUUCUUACAUGUUCAUUUUUUGAAAGAUUGUGGUGCAAAGGCUUACUCUGAGUAACCUUCUGGACUUUGGAAUGAAUAUAAAUGAAUGGCACUUUGAGUGUUAAUAAAGCUGAUAUUUAUUUCCACUG